AUUGAACGCUGGCGGCAGGCCUAACACAUGCAAGUCGAGCGGAAGAAGGGAGCUUGCUCCUGGAUUGCGCGGGGGACGGGGGAGUAAUGCCUAGGAAUCUGACUGGGAGUGGGGGAUAACGUCCGCAAACGGGCGCUAAUACCGCAACCGCCCAGAGGGGGAAGGUGGGGGAGCGUGAGACCUCACGCUAUCAGAUGAGCCUAGGUCGGAUUAGCUAGUUGGUGGGGUAAAGGCCUACCCAGGCGACGAUCCGUAACUGGUCUGAGAGGAUGAUCAGUCACACUGGAACUGAGACACGGUCCAGACUCCUACGGGAGGCAGCAGUGGGGAAUAUUGGACAAUGGGCGAAAGCCUGAUCCAGCCAUGCCGCGUGUGUGAAGAAGGUCUUCGGAUUGUAAAGCACUUUAAGUUGGGAGGAAGGGCAGUAAGCUAAUACCUUGCUGUUUUGACGUUACCAACAGAAUAAGCACCGGCUAACUUCGUG
Molecule: ribosomal RNA, 484 nt
Filed under: uncultured bacterium
Lineage: Bacteria
Description: partial 16S ribosomal RNA
Rfam family: Bacterial small subunit ribosomal RNA
Source: RNAcentral